AUUGAACGCUGGCGGCAUGCCUUACACAUGCAAGUCGAACGGCAGCACGGGAGCAAUCCUGGUGGCGAGUGGCGAACGGGUGAGUAAUAUAUCGGAACGUGCCCAGUCGUGGGGAUAACGUAGCGAAAGCUACGCUAAUACCGCAUACGAUCUAUGGAUGAAAGCGGGGGAUCGCAAGACCUCGCGCGAUUGGAGCGGCCGAUAUCAGAUUAGGUAGUUGGUGAGGUAAAGGCUCACCAAGCUGACGAUCUGUAGCUGGUCUGAGAGGACGACCAGCCACACUGGGACUGAGACACGGCCCAGACUCCUACGGGAGGCAGCAGUGGGGGAAUUUUUGGACAAAUGGGCGGCAAGCCUGAUCCAGCCAUGCCGCGUGAGUGAUGAAGGCCCUAGGUUGUAAAGCUUUUUCACCGGUGAAGAUAAUAGACGGUAACCGGAGAAGAAGCCCGGCUAACUUCGUGCCAGCAGCCGCGGUAAAGU
RNAcentral lists this ribosomal RNA (480 nucleotides) under uncultured bacterium. Its description in RNAcentral is "bacterial SSU rRNA". It matches the Rfam family "Bacterial small subunit ribosomal RNA", at positions 30 to 526 of the family's 1533-position model. The record is from RNAcentral.